UGGGGCGUGGCCAAGUGGUACGGCAGCGGUUUCUGGUACCGAAGAUCGUAGGUUCGACCCCUACCGCCCCAGCCA
This 75-nucleotide transfer RNA is filed under the name Candidatus Nomurabacteria bacterium. RNAcentral describes it as "tRNA-Gln". It matches the Rfam family "tRNA". Rfam says of the family: Transfer RNA (tRNA) molecules are approximately 80 nucleotides in length. Their secondary structure includes four short double-helical elements and three loops (D, anti-codon, and T loops). RNAcentral also lists the same sequence under 1 other name. Lineage: Bacteria; Candidatus Nomuraibacteriota. The record is from RNAcentral.